GACGAACGCUGGCGGCGUGCCUAAUACAUGCAAGUCGAACGCAGUGGGGACGGGUGAGUAACACGUGGGUAACCUCCCAUCAGAGGGGAUAACACUUGGAAACAGGUGCUAAACCGAUACUGAUGGAUGGACCCGCGGUGCAUUAGCUAGUUGGUGAGGUAACGGCUCACCAAGGCCACGAUGCAUAGCCGACCUGAGAGGGGAAUAACCCCCCCUGGGACUGAGAAACGGCCCAGACUCCACCCAUAACCACAAAUACAUAAUCUUCUGCAAUGAACGAAAGUCUGACCGAGCAACGCAGCGGGAGUGAAGAAUUUUUUCGGAUCUUAACACUCUGUUGUUAGAGAAGCGGUAUCUAACCAGAAAGCCACGGCUAACUACGUGCCAGCAGCCGCGGUAAUAC
Molecule: ribosomal RNA, 403 nt
Filed under: uncultured bacterium
Lineage: Bacteria
Description: partial 16S ribosomal RNA
Rfam family: Bacterial small subunit ribosomal RNA
Source: RNAcentral